UGUACAGAUAAGGACUUUGCUCUCUUACACAUGGCCCUCUGCCCAGGGCUACCUUUAGCAUUUUAGACAUACCCUAUUUAGUCUCAGAGGUUUGCAUUUCAUCUAUAUUCUCUAGGGGAAAAUAUAUAUUUUUUUCAAAAGAACAAUAUGUAAGAGAAAGAGACAAUAAAAAGUAUCCAUCACAAAAAUCAGGUUGAGGGCUAGAGAUGCUGCUGGACUGGUAGGUGCUGACCAGAAUGCACGAAGCCCUGGGUCCAAUCCCCAGCACAGGGUUAAUCAAGUGUGGCAGGCAGGCCUGAGUUCUGGAAGGUGAAGGAGGGAGGAACAGAGGGUCAAGGUCAUCAUAGGCUACAUAUGAGUUUGAGGCCAGCUUGGAAUAUGUGACAUCUUGCCUUUGAAAAAAAAAGUUAUUCCUUUAGAAGGCAAGGUUGCCCUCCCUUUCUGAUACAGCUCAGUCCUUUGUGUUUGCUUAUUUUUGCUUGCUUGUUUGUUUGUUUGCUUUGUUGUUUUCUCUUUUUGCAUCCCUGGCUAUUUGGUAACUCCCUUUGUAGACAGGGCUGGCCUUGAACUCACAGAGAUCUGCCUGCCUCUGCCACCUGGCUUUUUUUUUUUUUCAUUUUAAGACAGUCUUGCUAAAUUGCUAGAGCCAUUUGGAACUGGCCAUCCCUCUGCCUUGGUUUCCUGUAUGGUCCACCUGGCUCACAGCAUACUCUUUACACAGGUCCUUGUGAGGGAGGCACUUACUGAGGGCAGAGGAGCUGAGAGGCCCAGGCUCAAACUGCAUCCAGCCACUUGUCCUCCCCAACCUCCCAUCUCCUCAUGGGUAAUCUUCCUUUGGCUCUUGCAGUCAAGAGUGCCGGCCUGCCACUCAGGUGUACCCAGUCCAUGUGAGCCACUGGAGGGCUCCCAACAAUCUGGUGCCUGGACUGGGACCUGUAGAAGUUCAGGAAGACUCUGAAGGAACGCUGUUUCAUUUGGAGCUCCACGGGAAGAAAAAGAAAAGGAUCGUAUCGGAUGCCAAAGCAACAGAAGAUGGAGCGCGAUGGCUGCCUGGGAGAUUAGUUUGUCAACUGGACACAGAUCCUGAAUCUUCUAAUAUUGCUACCUGCUGAGAGGCCCCAGAGCUAUUCUGGAGACUACGCCCUAUCCUGCACGUCAUCACCUGCAGUUGGUUCCAGUCUCCAAGGAUGAAGUGGCAGGAAUGCUCCUCCCUGCCCCCUUAUAAGUGCCUUCGCCAUUGAAUAUUUGAGCCUUGAUCAGAACAUGGUCUUGGCUCCAUUUCUCUCUCAUCUGCCUAGUUUCCCUUUCUUUAAGUGCCAGCCUGCCACUCAGGUGUACCCAGUCCAUGUGAGCCUCUGGACGCCUUGCAAGAUUGCUGGGUGACAUUAGCCAAGGCACAUGCCAUGUUUGGCCCUGAGGGACUGUUUCUGUCCAAUAUCUAAAACACCUUCUAAGCAACAGCACCUUUCUUCUUGAGGUGAGGUGGGAGCAAAGACAAUGUCUGGCCAAUCUCAGAGUCUCCAGUGCUCACCCAGGACAGAUGCUCAGUGGGUGUUUCCUGAACAUCAUCAGAUGGUCUGGGGCUCAGUCUACAGGUUCUGUGGCUUUAAGCAGGAGGGCCAGUGGCCUUGCUGUGUUUGGAGCCAACUGAGUUGGGAAAGGCUGGCAUGGACUAUUCUGACUAAAUUCUCGGCUGUUCCAGACAUUCAAGGUCUUUCCCCAUGUCUACCAAUUAUCUGCUUCAUCCCCACACUCACGGGAGAGUGAACCAUGAACAGGGUGCUUGUGGCAACACAGGAAACUCACAGACCUUGGUUUAUUAGAUUAUUUUAAUAUGCCAGACCAAUAGAAAGGAAGGACGGAGCACACAGGAACACCUGUAUUUGCAGGAUGGAGGGCAGAUGUACACAGCCUUGAGUAUGCAUGUAUCUCCUGUGUAAUUAGGCAAAUGAAUACAUAAAUACCACACAACCGCCAGACUUGGGGGUGGGGAGAAUCACAGGCCACAGGGGACCAUGCUUUAAAGGCAGUCAAAGGCUUUAAAAAGAGGGGCUAAAGAACUUGAAGCUGGAUGGCCUGUUUCUCAAGCGCUAUGCGUGUUUGCUCAAGGAUGUCGGGGAACCAGUACCCUUCCCCGAGCCCCCUGAAAGCUUUGCAUUUUAUAUAAAACAACUAAAGGAAGCAAGGGAAAGCCCUUCAUGAGAUAAGCAGUGUGGCUGUGUGUGUGUGUCUGUGUAUGUCUGUGUGUCUGCUCGUGUGAGCAUGUAAAUGUGUGUGUGUGCGCGCAUGUGCCUGUGUCUAAAUGUUAUUUCUAAAGUGUACUUGAGAGGAAAAUAAACCAAUGAAAAUUUAAAAAAAAA
This is a long non-coding RNA of Mus musculus (house mouse), 2360 nucleotides long. RefSeq annotates it as predicted gene, 31624. The transcript has 4 exons. Lineage: Eukaryota; Metazoa; Chordata; Mammalia; Rodentia; Muridae. The record is from RefSeq and is a predicted model, not a curated record.